Molecule: ribosomal RNA, 267 nt
Filed under: uncultured bacterium
Lineage: Bacteria
Description: partial 16S ribosomal RNA
Rfam family: Bacterial small subunit ribosomal RNA
Source: RNAcentral
GACAGAGGGUGCAAACGUUGUUCGGAAUUACUGGGCGUAAAGCGCGUGUAGGCGGCUCGGCAAGUCGGGUGUGAAAGCCCUGGGCUUAACCUAGGAAGUGCACUCGAAACUGCCAAGCUUGAGUUCUGGAGAGGAAGGCGGGAAUUCUCGGUGUAGAGGUGAAAUUCGUAGAUAUCGAGAGGAACGACCGGUGGCGAAGGCGGCGCUCUGGGACCGACGACUGACGCUGAGGUGACGAAAGCGUGGGGAGCAAACAGGGAUUAAGAA